RNAcentral lists this ribosomal RNA (895 nucleotides) under Corynebacterium pseudotuberculosis. Its description in RNAcentral is "bacterial SSU rRNA". It matches the Rfam family "Bacterial small subunit ribosomal RNA", at positions 70 to 979 of the family's 1533-position model. The record is from RNAcentral. Lineage: Bacteria; Bacillati; Actinomycetota; Actinomycetes; Mycobacteriales; Corynebacteriaceae.
AAAGGCCCCUUCGGGGGUGCUCGAGUGGCGAACGGGUGAGUAACACGUGGGUGAUCUGCCUCGUACUCUGGGAUAAGCCUGGGAAACUGGGUCUAAUACUGGAUAGGACCGCACUUUAGUGUGUGUGGUGGAAAGUUUUUUCGGUACGAGAUGAGCCCGCGGCCUAUCAGCUUGUUGGUGGGGUAAUGGCCUACCAAGGCGUCGACGGGUAGCCGGCCUGAGAGGGUGGACGGCCACAUUGGGACUGAGAUACGGCCCAGACUCCUACGGGAGGCAGCAGUGGGGAAUAUUGCACAAUGGGCGCAAGCCUGAUGCAGCGACGCCGCGUGAGGGAUGACGGCCUUCGGGUUGUAAACCUCUUUCGACAGGGACGAAGCUUUUUGUGACGGUACCUGUAUAAGAAGCACCGGCUAACUACGUGCCAGCAGCCGCGGUAAUACGUAGGGUGCGAGCGUUGUCCGGAAUUACUGGGCGUAAAGAGCUCGUAGGUGGUUUGUCGCGUCGUCUGUGAAAUUCCGGGGCUUAACUCCGGGCGUGCAGGCGAUACGGGCAUAACUUGAGUGCUGUAGGGGAGACUGGAAUUCCUGGUGUAGCGGUGGAAUGCGCAGAUAUCAGGAGGAACACCGAUGGCGAAGGCAGGUCUCUGGGCAGUAACUGACGCUGAGGAGCGAAAGCAUGGGGAGCGAACAGGAUUAGAUACCCUGGUAGUCCAUGCCGUAAACGGUGGGCGCUAGGUGUGAGGGUCUUCCACGACUUUCGUGCCGUAGCUAACGCAUUAAGCGCCCCGCCUGGGGAGUACGGCCGCAAGGCUAAAACUCAAAGGAAUUGACGGGGGCCCGCACAAGCGGCGUAGCAUGUGGAUUAAUUCGAUGCAACGCGAAGAACCUUACCUGGG